AACGCUGGCGGCAUGCCUAACACAUGCAAGUCGAACGAACCCUUCGGGGUUAGUGGCGCACGGGUGCGUAACGCGUGGGAACCUGCCCUUAGGUUCGGAAUAACUCAGAGAAAUUUGAGCUAAUACCGGAUAAUGUCUUCGGACCAAAGAUUUAUCGCCUUUGGAUGGGCCCGCGUAGGAUUAGGUAGUUGGUGGGGUAAAGGCCUACCAAGCCGACGAUCCUUAGCUGGUCUGAGAGGAUGAUCAGCCACACUGGGACUGAGACACGGCCCAGACUCCUACGGGAGGCAGCAGUGGGGAAUAUUGGACAAUGGGCGAAAGCCUGAUCCAGCAAUGCCGCGUGAGUGAUGAAGGCCUUAGGGUUGUAAAGCUCUUUUACCAGGGAUGAUAAUGACAGUACCUGGAGAAUAAGCUCCGGCUAACUCCGUGCCAGCAGCCG
This 439-nucleotide ribosomal RNA is filed under the name Erythrobacter sp. RNAcentral's name for it is "bacterial SSU rRNA". It matches the Rfam family "Bacterial small subunit ribosomal RNA", at positions 32 to 517 of the family's 1533-position model. The record is from RNAcentral. Lineage: Bacteria; Pseudomonadati; Pseudomonadota; Alphaproteobacteria; Sphingomonadales; Erythrobacteraceae.